This 463-nucleotide ribosomal RNA is filed under the name uncultured bacterium. RNAcentral describes it as "partial 16S ribosomal RNA". It matches the Rfam family "Bacterial small subunit ribosomal RNA", at positions 28 to 507 of the family's 1533-position model. The record is from RNAcentral.
GACGAACGCUGGCGGCGUGCUUAACACAUGCAAGUCGAACGGAAAGGCCUUUUCGGAGGUACUCGAGUGGCGAACGGGUGAGUAACACGUGGGUGAUCUGCCCUGCACUCUGGGAUAAGCCUGGGAAACUGGGUCUAAUACCGGAUAGGACCGCACUUUAGUGUGUGUGGUGGAAAGUUUUUUCGGUGUAGGAUGAGCCCGCGGCCUAUCAGCUUGUUGGUGGGGUAAUGGCCUACCAAGGCGGCGACGGGUAGCCGGACUGAGAGGUUGGUCGGCCACAUUGGGACUGAGAUACGGCCCAGACUCCUACGGGAGGCAGCAGUGGGGAAUAUUGCACAAUGGGAGCAAGCCUGAUGCAGCGACGCCGCGGGGGGGAUGACGGCCUUCGGGUUGUAAACUCCUUUCGCCAGGGACGAAGCGUUUUGUGACGGUACCUGGAGAAGAAGCACCGGCUAACUACGUG